UCCUCGUUUAAGCGAGGCAGUCUGUCCAGAGUGCUUCCUUCUCUCGAAGGAGUGGCAACAGGACACAAGGGUUGCGCUCGUUGCGGGACUUAACCCAACAUCUCACGACACGAGCUGACGACAGCCAUGCAGCACCUGUGCAAGCUUCCCUUGCGGGAUCGUCCCACUUUCAUGGUUCUACUACUUGCAUGUCAAGGCCAGGUAAGGUUCUUCGCGUUGCAUCGAAUUAAGCCACAUACUCCACCGCUUGUGCAGGCCCCCGUCAAUUUCUUUGAGUUUUAAUCUUGCGACCGUACUUCCCAGGCGGCGUAUUUAUCGCGUUAGCUACGCCACAAACGGGGUCGAUUCCGUUUACAGCAAAUACGCACCGUUUACAGCUAGGACUAC
Molecule: unclassified non-coding RNA, 387 nt
Filed under: uncultured Verrucomicrobiae bacterium
Lineage: Bacteria; Pseudomonadati; Verrucomicrobiota; Verrucomicrobiia
Description: contains 16S-23S intergenic spacer region
Source: RNAcentral